AAAAACAUCGCUCCCAGAAAAUUAUUGAGGAGUCUUGCCUGSCCGGUGAUAAAUAUUUAACGGCUGCAGUAUUUUGACUGUACAAAGGUAGCAUAAUCAUUUGCCUAUUAAUUGUAGGCUGGAAUCAACGGCUUGACGAAGAGAAGACUGUCUUUCUUUAUAAAAAUUGAAUUUAGUAUUUUGGUGAAGAAACCAAAAUAAUAAAAUGGGACGAGAAGACCCUAUUGAGCUUUAGCUUUAUUCUAUUAUAUUAAUAUCUAUAAAGUUUUGGUUGGGGCAACUAAUCUUAUAAUAAGACAAGGUUAAUUAGUAAAAGAGUUGAAUCUAAAUUGACCCAUAAGUUUAUGGUAAUAAGAAAAAGUUACCAUAGGGAUAACAGCGUAAUUUUCUUUGAGAGUACAUAUUGACAAGAAAGUUUGCGACCUCGAUGUUGGAUCAAGAUAUCCUGGAGGUGUAGCCGCUYCCAAGGGUGGGUUUGUUCAACCUAUAAAAUCUUACGUGAUCUGA
This 507-nucleotide ribosomal RNA is filed under the name Ophiosteira debitor. RNAcentral describes it as "partial large subunit ribosomal RNA". It matches the Rfam family "Bacterial large subunit ribosomal RNA", at positions 1809 to 2608 of the family's 2925-position model. Lineage: Eukaryota; Metazoa; Echinodermata; Ophiuroidea; Amphilepidida; Ophiuridae. The record is from RNAcentral.